AGGGGGUGGAGGGAGUGCUUAUGAUCCUGCAGGGAUGGUGAUGUCAGAACAGCAGUGUCACGGGGACACUCUAGUCACAGGAAGGGUAGGACAAGCCCUCUCUCUGGAAGCCCUGAGCAGGAGAUGCCCACCUCCUUCCUACCUGACCCCACCAGGGGCUCCAGGAUCCUCUGCUGGGUAGCUCUGUGUCUCCUCGGGGCAGGUCCCGUGGAUACUGGCGUCGUCCAGUCCCCGAGACACCUCAUAGCAGAAAAGGGGGGACAAGCCACUCUGCAAUGCCACCCGGCCUCUGGACACAGAAGCGUGUACUGGUACCAGCAGACACGGGGCCAGGGACCCAAGUUCCUCUUUGAGUUAUACAAAGGAGAACAGCAAGAGAAAGGUGACAUCCAGGGCCGGUUCUCAGCCCAACAGUUCUCUAAUGACAGUUCGGAGCUGAACGUGAGAGCCUUGGAGCAGGGAGACUCGGCUGUGUUCCUCUGUGCCAGCAGCCCAGCACAGCCCUGCAGAGCCACCUCACACCUGCACCCAAACCUCCUUUCUCUGCUGGGGACGUGA
This is a non-coding RNA of Trichechus manatus latirostris (Florida manatee), 558 nucleotides long. NCBI's taxonomy places the organism in Eukaryota, Metazoa, Chordata, Mammalia, Sirenia, Trichechidae. The record is from the annotation of a RefSeq genome assembly.